Molecule: long non-coding RNA, 599 nt
Filed under: Homo sapiens (human)
Lineage: Eukaryota; Metazoa; Chordata; Mammalia; Primates; Hominidae
Description: non-protein coding lnc-RGS5-1:22
Source: RNAcentral
AUCUCUGCGUGACUUCCGCCAGCGUUUAGAGCGUUUUCGGGGUCCGAGUUGAAGAGCAAAACCAAGUGAAGGAAACUUCACUAAGUUCAGGGUGACAAGGGAGGAAGUACAGAGAAACAGAGCGCUUAAAAAGCACUGUCUGGAUAUCUUCAGAGGGAAAAAGGAGAAAGUUAACUGAAUUGGUGACACUUCGGGUCUCUCACAGAGGAAGACCUAUUAGAGUGCUAAGGAGAAGACAAGUUAUUAGCACCCAAAAGAAGCACCAGUGCGGAUGGAAAUACAAGGUUGACAUUCGCUGAGCUGUGUUUUUUUUUUCCAGGGAAAUGGUUAUUCUUGAUAUUUUGAGCAAACUCUUCUUCUCUGAUCAGUGCCCAGAACAAGGAAACAGGUUAGUCUCUCUGAGCCUUAGAUUCCUGAUCUGUAAAAUAAAGAUUAAGGAUAGUUCAUUUUAAACAAGGGUAAUGCUAUUUUCUACCCCUUAGGCUUAUAAGAGGAUAUGUACAGAGCCUGGUGAGUUUUAUAUCAUCUCAUCUUGAAGGCAAUCAAAACUCCUUCUGGGCCUCCAUGACACCCUGAUGGAGUGUCAGCAGUUAUUAAAG